GUGUCUUGGAGCCUAGGCGCAAGGUGCAGGCGCGCUCCCAAGCGAGACAAAGCACAAAAAUUAAAAAAAGAAAAGAUUAAAAUUAAAAAAAUUAAAAACAUUCUAUUACACUUGCUAAACAUUAAAAAAAAAAGAGAGAGAUAAGGAAAUUAAUAAUUUAUAAUAGUAUAAACUCGAUUUACCUAAUAGCAGUUAGCAAGUAGCAACAUAUAAACUAAUUUAUAAUACCAUAAUCUAACUAUAAUAAUAGAUAUUAAAUUAAUAAUUUUGGUAACAUAUUUAUGACUCAAUUAUAAUAUUUCUAAUAAUUUAUAAUAAACUUCACACUAAUAGCUAAACCUAAUAGCAAUUAGCAACAAGAAAAUAAACCCAAUUUAAUUCAAUCAUAAAACUAAAAGCUAAUAACUAAUAAGAAAUUUAGAGUAAUGGAAUUAGCAUCUCAAUUCUCAACAAAUGGACAUCACAUAUCAAAUUGUCAACAUUCCUUCACAUUCACACUAAACAAAAUCACAAAUUUAGACAAUGAAAAAAUAAAAAAAGCAUAUGGCAUACGAGCAUGGCAGAAGAAAAAAAAUAGCCACAACCACAGCCACUGGGACUUGACGAAACAGAGAGAGAGAGAGAGGCAUAUGGGAUGAAGAGAGCAUGGUAGCAAAAAAAAAGAAAAAGAAGUGCAGUAGUGCACUGACGAAA
Molecule: unclassified non-coding RNA, 693 nt
Filed under: Hevea brasiliensis (rubber tree)
Lineage: Eukaryota; Viridiplantae; Streptophyta; Magnoliopsida; Malpighiales; Euphorbiaceae
Source: RNAcentral